UACGUAGGGGGCGAGCGUUGUCCGGAUUUAUUGGGCGUAAAGAGCUCGUAGGCGGUUUGGCAAGUCGGGUGUGAAAACUCCGGGCUCAACUCGGAGACGCCACUCGAUACUGCCAUGACUCGAGUCCGGUAGGGGAGUGCGGAAUUCCUGGUGUAGCGGUGAAAUGCGCAGAUAUCGGGAGGAACACCGGUGGCGAAGGCGGUUCUCUGGGCCUUACCUGACGCUGAGGAGCGAAAGCGUGGGGAGCAAACAGG
RNAcentral lists this ribosomal RNA (254 nucleotides) under uncultured bacterium. RNAcentral describes it as "partial 16S ribosomal RNA". It matches the Rfam family "Bacterial small subunit ribosomal RNA", at positions 524 to 776 of the family's 1533-position model. The record is from RNAcentral.